This 497-nucleotide ribosomal RNA is filed under the name uncultured bacterium. RNAcentral's name for it is "partial 16S ribosomal RNA". It matches the Rfam family "Bacterial small subunit ribosomal RNA", at positions 28 to 507 of the family's 1533-position model. The record is from RNAcentral.
GACGAACGCUGGCGGCGUGCCUAAUACAUGCAAGUUGAGCGAUGAAGCUUGGUGCUUGCCCCAAUUUGAAGAGCAGCGAACGGGUGAGUAACGCGUGGGGAAUCUGCCUUUGAGCGGGGGACAACAUUUGGAAACGAAUGCUAAUACCGCAUAACAACUUUAAACAUAAGUUUUAAGUUUGAAAGAUGCAAUUGCAUCACUCAAAGAUGAUCCCGCGUUGUAUUAGCUAGUUGGUGAGGUAAAGGCUCACCAAGGCGAUGAUACAUAGCCGACCUGAGAGGGUGAUCGGCCACAUUGGGACUGAGACACGGCCCAAACUCCUACGGGAGGCAGCAGUAGGGAAUCUUCGGCAAUGGACGAAAGUCUGACCGAGAAACGCCGCGUGAGUGAAGAAGGUUUUCGGAUCGUAAAACUCUGUUGGUAGAGAAGAACGUUGGUGAGAGUGGAAAGCUCAUAAAGUGACGGUAACUACCCAGAAAGGGACGGCUAACUACGUG